This 527-nucleotide ribosomal RNA is filed under the name Atlantochrysa atlantica. RNAcentral's name for it is "partial large subunit ribosomal RNA". It matches the Rfam family "Bacterial large subunit ribosomal RNA", at positions 1814 to 2605 of the family's 2925-position model. The record is from RNAcentral. Lineage: Eukaryota; Metazoa; Arthropoda; Insecta; Neuroptera; Chrysopidae.
AACAUGUCUUUUAGUUUAAAAUUUAAAGUCUAACCUGCCCUAUGAUAAUUUAUUAAAUGGCCGCGGUAUUCUGACUGUGCAAAGGUAGCAUAAUCAUUUGUCUCUUAAUUAGAGGCUGGAAUGAAUGGUUGAAUGAAAUAUUAACUGUCUCAUUUUUAAAAUUAUAAAAAUUUAGCUUUUAAGUCAAAAGGCUUAAAUAUUUUUAGAGGACGAGAAGACCCUAUAGAUCUUUAUAAUUUUUUUAAUUUUAUAAAAUAGAAAAAUAUUUAAUAAAAUUAAAUAAAUUAUUUUAUUGGGGUGAUAGGAAAAUUUAAUUAACUUUUUUUAAUAAAUUAACAUUGAUUUAUGAUUAAUUGAUCCAUUUUUAGUGAUUAUAAGAUUAAGUUACCUUAGGGAUAACAGCGUAAUUUUUUUAGAGAGUUCUUAUCGAUAAAAAAGAUUGCGACCUCGAUGUUGAAUUAAAGGUUAUUUCUAGAUGUAGCAGUUUAGAGUUUAGGUCUGUUCGACCUUUGAAUCUUUACAUGAUC